Long non-coding RNA from Astyanax mexicanus (Mexican tetra), 505 nucleotides. RefSeq lists it as uncharacterized. The transcript is spliced from 2 exons. The record is from RefSeq and is a predicted model, not a curated record. NCBI's taxonomy places the organism in Eukaryota, Metazoa, Chordata, Actinopteri, Characiformes, Acestrorhamphidae.
UCCAAAGCGACUUACAAUAGUUGAGUACAAUGUAAAAUAAGUUUAAAGGUAAAACAUCUUUGGAUAGGGAUAAAAGGAGGACAAAGGGGAAUAAUAGGAUAGAGGAGUGAAGGAGGGGAAGAAGGAAAUGAGGAUAGAAGUAGUUAGUGUGUUAGAGGUGUUAAGAGAGUAAGUGCUCUUUGAAGAGCUCUGUCUUCAGGAGUUUCUUAAAGAUAGCGAGAGAUUCUCCUGAUCUGGUAGUGGAAGGUAGUUUGUUCCACCAUUGGGGAACUCUGUAUGAGAACAGUCUGGAUUGCUUUGUGUGAGUUUUUGGCAAAGCGAGGCGACGUUCACUGGAGGAGCGCAGCGGCCGGGAGGUAGCGUAAGCCUUCAGGAGCGAGUGCAGGUAGGAAGGAGCCUGUUCUGUAUCACCUUGUAGGCGAUUGUAAGAGCUUUGAAUUUGAUGCGAGCAUCAACUGGUAGCCAAUGGAGCUCAAUGAGCAGCGGAGUGACAUGUGCCCGUUUU